Lacerta agilis (Sand lizard) is the source of this 155-nucleotide long non-coding RNA. RefSeq lists it as uncharacterized. NCBI's taxonomy places the organism in Eukaryota, Metazoa, Chordata, Lepidosauria, Squamata, Lacertidae. The record is from RefSeq and is a predicted model, not a curated record. The transcript is spliced from 3 exons.
UUAAAACAUGGGGAGGGCACAAAGUUGAAGAAGGCUGAGCUAGCUUGUGAUUUCACACAUCGCUCCCACUGCAGAACGGAAACUUCCAGCCUCUCUCUGGUUUGCAACAACACUGCAACUAAUACAGUAAGGUAAAGGUAAAGGGACCCCUGACC